GACGAACGCUGGCGGCGUGCUUAACACAUGCAAGUCGAACGAUGAAGCCAGCUUGCUGGUGGAUUAGUGGCGAACGGGUGAGUAACACGUGGGUGAUCUGCCCCAAACUUUGGGAUAAGCCUGGGAAACUGGGUCUAAUACCGAAUAUGACCGAUACUCGCAUGGGUGUUGGUGGAAAGCUCCGGCGGUUUGGGAUGGGCCCGCGGCCUAUCAGCUUGUUGGUGGGGUAAUGGCCUACCAAGGCGACGACGGGUAGCCGGCCUGAGAGGGCGACCGGCCACACUGGGACUGAGACACGGCCCAGACUCCUACGGGAGGCAGCAGUGGGGAAUAUUGCACAAUGGGCGCAAGCCUGAUGCAGCGACGCCGCGUGAGGGAUGACGGCCUUCGGGUUGUAAACCUCUUUCACCAGGGACGAAGCGAAAGUGACGGUACCUGGAGAAGAAGCACCGGCCAACUACGUGCCAGCAGCCGCGGUAAUACGUAGGGUGCGAGCGUUGUCCGGAAUUACUGGGCGUAAAGAGCUCGUAGGCGGUUUGUCGCGUCGUUCGUGAAAACUUGGGGCUUAACUCCAAGCGUGCGGGCGAUACGGGCAGACUUGAGUACUACAGGGGAGACUGGAAUUCCUGGUGUAGCGGUGAAAUGCGCAGAUAUCAGGAGGAACACCGGUGGCGAAGGCGGGUCUCUGGGUAGUAACUGACGCUGAGGAGCGAAAGCGUGGGUAGCGAACAGGAUUAGAUACCCUGGUAGUCCACGCCGUAAACGGUGGGUACUAGGUGUGGGUUCCUUUUCACGGGAUCCGUGCCGUAGCUAACGCAUUAAGUACCCCGCCUGGGGAGUACGGCCGCAAGGCUAAAACUCAAAGAAAUUGACGGGGGCCCGCACAAGCGGCGGAGCAUGUGGAUUAAUUCGAUGCAACGCGAAGAACCUUACCUGGGUUUGACAUACACCAGAAAGCCAUAGAGAUAUGGCCCCCCUUGUGGUUGGUGUACAGGUGGUGCAUGGCUGUCGUCAGCUCGUGUCGUGAGAUGUUGGGUUAAGUCCCGCAACGAGCGCAACCCUUGUCCUGUGUUGCCAGCACGUAAUGGUGGGGACUCGCAGGAGACUGCCGGGGUCAACUCGGAGGAAGGUGGGGAUGACGUCAAGUCAUCAUGCCCCUUAUGUCCAGGGCUUCACACAUGCUACAAUGGCCGGUACAGAGGGCUGCGAUACCGUGAGGUGGAGCGAAUCCCUUAAAGCCGGUCUCAGUUCGGAUCGGGGUCUGCAACUCGACCCCGUGAAGUCGGAGUCGCUAGUAAUCGCAGAUCAGCAACGCUGCGGUGAAUACGUUCCCGGGCCU
Molecule: ribosomal RNA, 1339 nt
Filed under: uncultured bacterium
Lineage: Bacteria
Description: bacterial SSU rRNA
Rfam family: Bacterial small subunit ribosomal RNA
Source: RNAcentral